This 73-nucleotide transfer RNA is filed under the name Bacillus mycoides. RNAcentral describes it as "tRNA-Cys". It matches the Rfam family "tRNA". Rfam says of the family: Transfer RNA (tRNA) molecules are approximately 80 nucleotides in length. The record is from RNAcentral. Lineage: Bacteria; Bacillati; Bacillota; Bacilli; Caryophanales; Bacillaceae.
GGCAGUGUAGCCAAGUGGUAAGGCAUAGGUCUGCAAAACCUAAUCCUUGGUUCAAAUCCAAGCACUGCCUCCA